AACAUCGCGCACCUGCGGGAACCUGCGGAGGGAUCAUUCAUAACAGGCCCAGUAUGGGGGCCCUUUUAAAUUUCCAUAUUCACCUUGUGUGCAAUGUUUUUAAUUAUAUUUUUUAAACGCUUAAAAUUUUUUUUUUUUAAAUUGUCUGAAAUAAAUAUUGUGAAUUUUUUUAAUUCAAAAUACAACUUUUAACAACGGAUCU
Molecule: unclassified non-coding RNA, 202 nt
Filed under: soil metagenome
Description: partial contains 5.8S ribosomal RNA, internal transcribed spacer 2, and large subunit ribosomal RNA
Source: RNAcentral